GAGGAAUAUUGGUCAAUGGGCGAGAGCCUGAACCAGCCAAGUAGCGUGCAGGAUGACGGCCCUCCGGGUUGUAAACUGCUUUUAGUUGGGAAUAAAAAAAGGGACUUGUCCCUUCUUGUAUGUACCUUCAGAAAAAGGACCGGCUAAUUCCGUGCCAGCAGCCGCGGUAAUACGGAAGGUCCAGGCGUUAUCCGGAUUUAUUGGGUUUAAAGGGAGCGUAGGCGGAUUGUUAAGUCAGCGGUUAAAGGGUGUGGCUCAACCAUGCAUUGCCGUUGAAACUGGCGAUCUUGAGUGCAGACAGGGAUGCCGGAAUUCGUGGUGUAGCGGUGAAAUGCUUAGAUAUCACGAAGAACUCCGAUCGCGAAGGCAGGUGUCCGGGCUGCAACUGACGCUGAGGCUCGAAAGUGUGGGUAUCAAACAGGAUUAGAUACCCUGGUAGUCCACGCAGUAAACGAUGUAUACUCGCGGUUUGCGAUAGACAGUAAGCCGCCAAGCGAAAGCAUUAAGUAUACCACCUGGGGAGUACGCCGGCAACGGUG
Molecule: ribosomal RNA, 539 nt
Filed under: uncultured bacterium
Lineage: Bacteria
Description: bacterial SSU rRNA
Rfam family: Bacterial small subunit ribosomal RNA
Source: RNAcentral